UCACAUGCUCACAUCUACAAAUAUGUAACCUGACUAGGUCUCACCAAUCUGCCACUGACAUCACGACAGACAUGCUGGAAGAUACUUUAUGUGGAUGACAUCUCUCGGCUAAACUGGAAAUCUGACCAUGUCAGUGGAUGGGGUCAAAACGUUGGGCCGAAAAAAAGAAAGUAGGAGACAGGCAGCAAGGAGACCGGCUCUUAUUAUGCAAGACUCCCAAUGCUUCAAACCACGGAUGCUUCAGGCACUUUUCCUGAGUGCCGUUUCUUUGAAACCUUCUACUGAGAUAUACAAUUCCACAGAAUCUUGAGCUUGUCCACAUGGUCACGGAGGACACUGGCCCACUUCUGCAGUGACUCCAUAAUGGUCCAUGGCCGUGACAUAUCCGCA
Molecule: long non-coding RNA, 390 nt
Organism: Plectropomus leopardus (leopard coralgrouper)
Lineage: Eukaryota; Metazoa; Chordata; Actinopteri; Perciformes; Serranidae
Source: RefSeq, a predicted model, not a curated record